Molecule: ribosomal RNA, 354 nt
Filed under: uncultured bacterium
Lineage: Bacteria
Description: bacterial SSU rRNA
Rfam family: Bacterial small subunit ribosomal RNA
Source: RNAcentral
GACGAACGCUGGCGGCGUGCCUAAUACAUGCAAGUUGAACGCAACAAAGACACCAGAGCUUGCUCUACCGUCUUUGUUGAGUAGCGAACGGGUGAGUAACGCGUGGGUAACCUGCCUUAUAGCGGGGGAUAACUAUUGGAAACGAUAGCUAAUACCGCAUAACAAUAGAGAUUGCAUAAUCUUUAUUUGAAAGUGCCAACUGGUACACUAUGAGAUGGACCCGCGUUGUAUUAGCUAGUUGGUAGUGUAAUGGACUACCAAGCGAUGAUACAUAGCCGACUGAGAGGUGAUCGGCCACAUUGGGACUGAGACAGGCCCAAAUCCUACGGGAGGCAGCAGUAGGGAAUCUUCGGC